GCAAGUGUGGCCCAAUUGGCUAGGGCACCUGACUUCCAAUCAGAAGACUGUGGGUUCGAACCCCACCAUUUGCU
Molecule: transfer RNA, 74 nt
Filed under: Aureispira sp.
Lineage: Bacteria; Pseudomonadati; Bacteroidota; Saprospiria; Saprospirales; Saprospiraceae
Also listed under: 1 other name
Description: tRNA-Gly
Rfam family: tRNA
About the family: Transfer RNA (tRNA) molecules are approximately 80 nucleotides in length. Their secondary structure includes four short double-helical elements and three loops (D, anti-codon, and T loops).
Source: RNAcentral